CCCUUAGAUGUCUUGGGCUGCACGCGUGCUACAAUAAACGAUACACAGAAAUAGUUGGCUGUAAAGUCAUCUUUGUUCCGAAUAUCGUUUGUAGUGGGGCUAAUUGCUUUGAAUUGUUUAAUUUUAACGAGGAAUUCCUAGUAAGUAUAGAAAAUUAUUCUGUGCUGAUUUAGUCCCUGCCCUUUGUACACACCGCCCGUCGCUCCUACCGAUUGAGCGCUCCGGUGAGCACGUGAGAGACUCUGCAUUUAGUAGAUUCAAAUAUGUGUGAACCUUGGCGUUUAGAGGAAGGAGAANUCGUANCA
This 305-nucleotide ribosomal RNA is filed under the name uncultured eukaryote. RNAcentral describes it as "partial 18S ribosomal RNA". It matches the Rfam family "Eukaryotic small subunit ribosomal RNA", at positions 1470 to 1796 of the family's 1831-position model. The record is from RNAcentral.